GAAAAGAAAAAAAUAAAAAAGUUCGAAUACCCUCUGCUAGGGUUCUGUUUUUGCGCCGCCGUUGCUAUUAACCAAUCGGCCAGUUCGGAUCCUGGCCGUUAAAGGCGAAGCGAGCUUCGGGUUUCAUCGGCAAGACCAUGCAGGUAAGCCUCUUCCCUUUUCUUUUAUUAUUAUUAAUUUUUAAAACAGAACAAAUGAAAUAAAGAGAAUAAAAAACGAAGAAAAAAUUUCACCUUGAAUCAAAAAACAAUCUGUAUUCAAUGCUUUUUUUCUAUUUCUUGUGUAUUUUCUCCCUUAAUACCCUCUUCCCCCUGUUUAAAAAAAUACUAGCUUUAUAUAUAGCCGAAAAGAAAAAAUAAAGUGAAUAAAUCUGUUUAUUUUUUGCUGUUUUUCUCUUUGCGGACUCCUUGAGUCUGUGUUUGCAGGCGUGUGGGGAGCAAACGUGUGUGGAGAGGCCCUCCGAGUCUUACGACGAUCGGAGUCCUUGCUGGAGGCAAGGGCUUGCUGCGGCUAGGGUUCUUCUUUUUUUUUAUUUCAAUUUUGCUGUAUUGGGCUGCUAGUUACUGAGUUUAGAGUUUGGGUCUGUUAGGUAGUUUGGGCCUGAGUGUUAUAAUGUAAAGUGGGUGUUGGAUUGGACCUGGGCACAUUUGGGUUUAUACAAUGUAUAUAUAUAAAAUGAAAUUUAAAAGGUAGAUAGGAGUAAAUAAUAAUAACAAUAAUUAAUAAUGUUGAUAAUGGUAUUAAAUUGAUUAAUUUCAAUGAAAAAGCAACCAAAAUAAUAAAGAAAUG
This 789-nucleotide long non-coding RNA is filed under the name Gossypium barbadense (sea-island cotton). RNAcentral describes it as "long non-coding RNA (GBAR_LNC016979)". The record is from RNAcentral. Lineage: Eukaryota; Viridiplantae; Streptophyta; Magnoliopsida; Malvales; Malvaceae.